This 446-nucleotide ribosomal RNA is filed under the name Flavobacterium sp. RNAcentral's name for it is "bacterial SSU rRNA". It matches the Rfam family "Bacterial small subunit ribosomal RNA", at positions 413 to 861 of the family's 1533-position model. Lineage: Bacteria; Pseudomonadati; Bacteroidota; Flavobacteriia; Flavobacteriales; Flavobacteriaceae. The record is from RNAcentral.
GGUCCUAUGGAUUGUAAACUGCUUUUAUACGAGAAGAAACACUGCUUCGUGAAGCAGCUUGACGGUAUCGUAAGAAUAAGGAUCGGCUAACUCCGUGCCAGCAGCCGCGGUAAUACGGAGGAUCCAAGCGUUAUCCGGAAUCAUUGGGUUUAAAGGGUCCGUAGGCGGUUUAAUAAGUCAGUGGUGAAAGCCCAUCGCUCAACGGUGGAACGGCCAUUGAUACUGUUAAACUUGAAUUAUUAGGAAGUAACUAGAAUAUGUAGUGUAGCGGUGAAAUGCUUAGAGAUUACAUGGAAUACCAAUUGCGAAGGCAGGUUACUACUAAUGGAUUGACGCUGAUGGACGAAAGCGUGGGUAGCGAACAGGAUUAGAUACCCUGGUAGUCCACGCCGUAAACGAUGGAUACUAGCUGUUGGAAGCAAUUUCAGUGGCUAAGCGAAAGUGAU